GACGAACCGAGCGAACGUUGUUCGGAAUCACUGGGCUUAAAGGGCGCGUAGGCGGGCCCGCCAGUCUGUGGUGAAAUCCUCCGGCUCAACCGGAGAACUGCCUCGGAUACUGCGGGUCUCGAGGGUGAUAGGGGUAUGCGGAACUAUCGGUGGAGCGGUGAAAUGCGUUGAUAUCGAUAGGAACUCCGGUGGCGAAGGCGGCAUACUGGAUCACUUCUGACGCUGAGGCGCGAAAACCAGGGGAGCAAACGGG
Molecule: ribosomal RNA, 253 nt
Filed under: uncultured bacterium
Lineage: Bacteria
Description: partial 16S ribosomal RNA
Rfam family: Bacterial small subunit ribosomal RNA
Source: RNAcentral